RNAcentral lists this long non-coding RNA (642 nucleotides) under Musa acuminata (dwarf banana). RNAcentral describes it as "long non-coding RNA (MACU_LNC001580)". Lineage: Eukaryota; Viridiplantae; Streptophyta; Magnoliopsida; Zingiberales; Musaceae. The record is from RNAcentral.
GGGUGGCGCCGAUGCCGCCGCCGACGUCGACGAGCCGGUUGACGUCGUCGAAGCCGCGGUAGAUGUCGAGGAGCUUCUUGGUGAUGAUGAUGGAGUGGUUCUUCAUGCCGUCGUUGAACACCGCGUUGAAGCGGGGGUCGGUGCCGUGGUACUCGAACGCCGUCAUGCCGUACGCCCUGUUGAAGGGGAUGCCACCGUCCAACACCGCAUCCUUCAAGUAGUACCUGCCAUCAGAUCAUGCAUAUCUCGGGUUAAAUUAUAGUGAUAUAUAAUAGAUUUUAGACUAAUGAACCGAUCUAAAUUAGGUAUCAUAGACUACUUAAGCUCUUAUCUUAACAUCUUCUAAAUCGAUCACUUCAUGUAGCGCCGCCAUGCUACAUACUAAUUGUAAGAUGCGAAGCUAAAGACUGGAUUACCAGCUCUCCAUGAGGACCUUGUCCUGGUUCAUCAAAGCUAAAGCAGCCAUGGACACACCGUCCUCGUUCUUGGUCAGGUACUUGCACACCGGGGCCGCGCCGUACGUCCUCGACGGCCUCCCCUCGGCGUCGGCCUCGACGGUGCAGCUGACGACGUUGUAGGCGGCCAGAAGGCGGAGCAUGCGGUCCACCAUGACGGCCGCGUGCGGGUUCUUGGUGGGCAGCC